This is an RNA transcript of Solanum pennellii, 5766 nucleotides long. It is a transcript of the gene named putative late blight resistance protein homolog R1A-4, with no coding region annotated. The transcript is spliced from 5 exons. NCBI's taxonomy places the organism in Eukaryota, Viridiplantae, Streptophyta, Magnoliopsida, Solanales, Solanaceae. The record is from RefSeq and is a predicted model, not a curated record.
UCUAGAAAGAUUAGAAGAGACCAAAAGUCUUCCUUUCUUCCGAAAACAUAAAUGUGCCAUCAAUAUUUUUCUUCUACUUUUACUCUUCAAAGGGGAUUGGUAGGAGGCUGGUGUUUGAGGACUUCAAUCACUGCACAAAAUUAAGUUUUUUGCUGUUGGGGUUUCCAAGUUAAAUUUGCACCACUACCAAAGAUUUGUUAACAAUUAGAGGGAACUGAAAUAAGGAGAUGGCCAUGGAGUGUGGCAAAGUGAUAGGCGCCAUGAACUUUGUGAGGGACGUCCAACAUUUUGAUAUGUCGACGUUUAAUCAACUGGAGGAUGCUAGAAAUAAUCUAGAACAUGCAGCUGGAUUUCUGAGAAAACUGGAGAAGAGAUCCCCUGAGAAUACGAUAUCAACAUAUCUUAGGCCCCUAUUUCUAGAAGCUCUUGAUGGUUUGUCUGCAAUAUCUUCUCACAUGAAGGAUCAAGGCCAGAAGAGUGACACCGCUGAAAGGAUUUCGAAGGUGCUGAAAAUAAUCAAAUUGAAGAACAUUGCUGAGCGAAUCAAAGCUUCAAAACCAUCAAGAUCAUCUAGCCAAGUCACUCUGGAGAUGGUGGAGUUUGUCAAAUCUUUGCUUGUUUCUGUUCAUCAUGCACUGUUCUUUAUUAGUGCAGAUGCUCAUGUGUCUGUUCUUGUCAAGAAGCUGUGGGAUAUACUAGGCUUCUUCACGUUUAUUGCAAAGCAGUGCAUUGAGCUUGAGAGUAUGAAGGAUUUCUUCACCCAUGCUGAGGAUGUAGCUUACACUGCAGCAUACCUAUGUUUCUUAGGCUUGCACGGCACUAUGGAUACUGAUAUCUCUAAAUUUCUGAAAAGGAUAAGUCCUUUUAGCCCUGAUGUGAGGCAGAUUUAUCUGAGUGUCUUGAUGGGGUUAAAUUCAUUCAGAUCAGAGACUACAAUGAAUGCCAAAUAUAUUUUUGAUUUUGUUAGUGCCCUCCGUAAUGACCUGGAAGAGCUACUAAGCAAUGUUCAUCAAAGUCCGUGCAUUCGUCUCCAACAAGGACUUUCACACCUUUCUAGAUUUCUCUGGGACAUAAAAUCAGAUCCAUUUCCACUUGGAGAAUUGAUUUCUCUUCAAUCACAGAUGCAAGCUGUGGCCAUUGAGGCAGCGGUUGCAAUCUACACCUCAUAUGAUGAGAAAGUGAAAAUGAAGACUACUGAAAUAGACCAUUUGCCUUUUAUUUUGCAACUGAAGUUAAAUCAUGUCAAGGUAGAAGUCUCCCUGAUUAAGCUACUGAAAAGUAAACCCACUGUAAUAGCUCCUCUAAAAGAUCUGAUUGAUUAUGUUUGGGAAGAGCUGAUAUUCAUGAAAACUUUUUUCAUGGAUGCAUUUGAGCAGUUCAAAGAGCAAACUAACGUCACUGAAUUUUUCAAUCUUAUUCAAUCUGUAACUAGCCAAGCAUGGUUGGUCAUUUAUUCUCUUUAUCGUGACAUAAAGAAAGAAGGCUUAGCCAGGGAAAUUAGUUGGUCGCAUUUUCAGUUGCUUCUUAAGUUCAGGUUUAUUAGGGCAGUGAUUGGACAGAUAUGUCCCAGAAUUUCUGUGUCAUCAAUACUGGACCAUCCCACGAUAAAUCUGUUGAACUUUCUUCCUCUCAACUUUAAGGUCCUUGAUUCUUAUUUCAGCAUGCUAAAAUCAUCAACAAUAGAUUCUUCCGAUAGCCCGAUGAUGGAUUUGGUUUUGAUGGGGUUUCAUGAAUAUAUUCUUGACAACCUGCAACUGAAGAAUGAAACCAGUUUGACAUUUACCAAUACAAAUGAGGUUAAAAAGUUUUACUAUGGAUUGUUGCUCCUGGUAACAUAUCUUUUUGAUCCUCUAGUUCAGUGUAGUGGAUUUGGAACUAUCGAAAUUGAGGCUGCUGGUGAUAGUAACAGAAAUAGAAGGGUCAGUCUUGUUCUUCAGUAUUUGACUGUAGCUUUAAAGCUUAUUGAGCCUGAGGAAACCUUGAUGGAUAUGCUAACCAAGGCCACAUUGAAAGCUCCAAUACUGGAUAUGGUUGAAAGUGCUCAUGAAGAGCUUAUUUUCCUCAGAGCUUUUCUCAUGGAUGUUCUCAGGCAACAGAUGAAGCUUAACAAAUAUCAUCAUCUCUUGAGGAAUGUUGAGGAGACUGCCAACAAGUUAGCACAAGUCAGUCGUUUUCGUAAUGAAAGAUUCAUGGACGAAAACAGCACCUGGGAAGUGUGUCUUAUAUUGUCUGAUUUCCUAUAUGAUAUUAAGUUUAUCAAGGUAGAAAUUAGAAAGGUAUGCAUUCAGGUCUUGGAUGCAUCACUUAUGACUUUGCCAGAUAUCAAAGGCCUUUUAAACUUUUUAUCAAACCGCCUGGACACAGUGCUUGACUGUGAUGCUGGUUCGAUUGCUUUUCUGAUGAACCGAAGUAGAGUUCUCAAAGAGAAACUUAUGUACUUGGGACACUUUCUUGCAGAUGUUGUACAACACUACAAUAUGCAUCAAGGACUCAAAGACCUCAUGAAACAUGUUCUAGAUACCAAGUAUGUCUGUUUAUUGUCUGUUGGGGAUUAUAAAUCUGCUUGGUAUUACAUGUUAUCUCUCUCCGAUAUGAAGCAAUUGCUUAAGUUUGUUGAGACAGAGGUCAAAACAAUUAUUCCUAAAGCUCCAGAGUCAUCAAGUUAUAGCUUCCCCAAGACAAAUGGAUUAGGAUUUCUUCAAUUUUUCCUAGGAAACUUGGAGGAGCUGUUAUGUUCUAAGCUCGAUUCCGUUAUUGACUGGAAGGAUCAGAUUAGAUCAGUCAAGGAAGGCAUACUGUGUCUAAGAGAUCAUUUCGCUGAGAACUUUGAUGAGCUAGAUGAAGUUUAUGGUUUUGUAUUGAAGGUCACUGAAAUGGCAUAUAAAGCAGAGUUUGUCAUUGACUCCUGCUUAGUCAGUUCUCAUCCACUCUGGUACAAAUCUCAUCGAAUGUCUGAAGUUCUUAAGAAUAUCAAGCUUUUAAAUAAAGCUGUUACUGAGACUUAUGAAAGAAAGGAGAUAGAUGUGACAGUGCACAAAGUUGCAAAGACCUCCAUGAAUCCUGUGGCAUCCUUAUUAGCUUAUACGCCAAGAGAAAAUGAAGAAAUGGAGGGCUUUCACGAGGCAAUGGAUAAAAUUAAGAGGCAACUACUUCGAAGAUCUUCUCAGCUAGAUAUUAUCUCCAUAGUUGGUAUGCCUGGAAUCGGCAAGACCACUCUGGCUGAGAAGAUUUACAAUAAUCUCAUAGUUACCCCUCACUUUGAUGUUCACGCUAAGUGUCGUGUGACUCAACUAUAUUCAUGGAAAGAGUUGUUGCUUACCAUCUUGAAUGAUGUUCUUGAUCCCGCUGAUCGCACUGGAAAAGAAGAUGGUGAAUUAGCUACUGAGCUGCGUCAAGUUUUGUUAACCAAGAGAUUCUUAAUUCUCGUUGAUGAUGUGUGGGAUAAAACAGUCUGGGACAAUUUAUAUAUGUGCUUCAGAGAUGCUAAGAAUGGGAGUAGAAUUAUUCUAACUACCCGGCUGAGUGACAUUGCCAAUUAUGCUAAAUGUAAGAGUGAACCCCAUCAUCUUCGUUUAUUCAGAGAUGACGAGAGUUGGACAUUAUUACAAGAAGAGGUGUUUCAAGGGGAGAGCUGUCCAACUGAACUUGUAGAUGUGGGAUUUCGAAUAGCAAAAAGUUGUGGAGGAUUGCCACUUUCCAUUGUAUUAGUUGGUGGUGUUCUGAAAGAGAAAGAGAAGAAAGAAGAUUUGUGGAAAGAAGUAGAAGAAAGUUUAGGUUCCAAAAAUAUUGGUAGCUUGCAAAAGAGUAUGUCUUUAAUUGGAUUCAGUUAUAAGAAUUUACCACAUCAUCUGAAGCCUUGUUUCCUCUAUUUUGGAGGAUUUUUUAAGGGGAAGGAUAUUCAUGUCUCAAAAUUGACUCGGUUGUGGCAAGCAGAAGGGUUUGUACAAGCAAAUAAGGAAAAAAGAACAGAUACCGCACACGAUUUCUUGGAAGAUCUUAUUAGUAGAAAUCUAGUAAUGGUCAUGAAGGAGAGACCUAAUGAUAAGGUGAAAAGUUGUCGCAUUCAUGAUCUCUUGCACAAUUUCUGCCUAGAAAAGUCCAAGCAAGAAAACUUCCUUAACCAAAUGAACAGGGAAGAAGAUAUGCUUCCUGAAAAACCUCAAGACUACCGAUUGUUCAUCCAUUCUUACCAAGAUGAGAUUGAUUCGUGGCGUCCAUGUGGCUCAAAUGUCCGUUCUUUACAAUUCAAAGUGACAGACCCGGAUAGCUUGUUAUGGCCUCGUGAUAUCUCCUUCAUCUUUGACAGCUUCAAACUUGUUAAAGUGUUGGAUUUGGAAUCGUUCAACAUAGGUGGCACUUUUCCUAGUGAAGUAGAGUCUUUAAUUCAUUUGAGGUACUUUGCUGUUCAAACAUAUGCAAAUUCAAUUCCUUCGUUUAUAGCUAAGCUUCGGAAUCUUGAAACUUUUGUGGUAAGAGGAUUGGGAGGAGAGGUGAUAAUACCUUCUUCUAUUCUAAAGAUGGUCAAAUUGAGGCAUUUACUUGUAAAGGAUCGUGCUUCAUUUAGUUUGCAAGGAAACAUGGGUGAAUCAUUUUCUAACUCUCAAUUAGAUUAUUUGGAAACCUUUUCCACUCCACGCCUCUCUUAUGGUCAAGAUGCAGAGAUGAUUUUGACAAAGAUGCCAAAUUUGAGAAAGUUGAAUUGUAUAUUUUUGGAGACAUUUAGUUAUUUAGAGAAAUUGAAGGGAAGGUGUGUUCGUUUUCCCACAUUAGAGUUUCUAAGUCACCUUGAAUCCCUAAAGUUGGUUUCCAACUGCUAUCCAUCUAAGCUUCCUCAUGUGUUCAAUUUCCCCUCAAAACUAAGGGAAUUGACUUUGUCUAAGUUUCGCUUACCCUGGUACGAAAUUUCUAUCGUUGGAGAACUGCCUAACUUGGAGAUCCUAAGGUUGCUUUCCAGAGCCUUCGAAGGGAAUGAAUGGGAAGUGAAUGAUUCAGAAUUUCCUGAACUCAAAUACUUAAAUUUGGACAACAUCAACAUUUCACAGUGGUCCGUCUCUGAUGAUGCUUUUCCUAAGCUUGAACGUUUGGUUUUAACCAAGUGUAAGCAGCUUGAGGAAAUCCCUUCUCAUUUUGGUGACGCCGUAACUCUGAAAAGCAUUGAAGUAAACAGGUGUGGCUGGUCUGUUUCCAAUUCAGCCUUGGAAAUUCAAACUGCGCAACAUGAAGACAUGGCAAAUGAUGCUUUCGCAGUUACCAUACAGCCUCCAGAUUGGGCUAGAAAACCAUUUGCUUGACUCGUUUCUGGUAGAUGAUACAUGUUUUAGCAUCCAGAGUCCAACUUGACUUUAUAUCUGAAUAAAAGGAGUCUUGAGUAGAAAAGAUCACGAGUUAUAAUACUACACACACCUGAGCCUAACUCAACCUCAAAAGCUAGCUCAUGAGGGGAGGUUUGUCCAAGUCCAUCUAAAGAGACCAAAUUCCCAUCCCUCUACCGAUAUGAGACUUCUUAACUGUACAACAGAUAUCCAGGACAGGAGUCCAAAGACGUAUAGACUCAAGCAUCCAAAGCAACAAAAGAGUCGGAGUUCUUAGAAGAUGGGAAGCACGGCUAAGAGCUAUAAAUAUAUAAGCUUUCUCACCUGCAUAUCAUUAAACGAGAGAGAGUUGAAGUAUGUGAGCCUUGUAAACUACAUGUACACACCACUAGCUAGCAAUAUUCCAUAUAGUCUAACAAUCAAACAUUAAAAUAUUUUAAUGUUUGAUUGUUAG